GAUGAACGCUGGCGGCGUGCCUAAUACAUGCAAGUCGAGCGAACAGACGAGGAUCUUGCUCCUCUUACGUUAGCGGCGGACGGGUGAGUAACACGUGGAUAACCUACCUAUAAGACUGGGAUAACUUCGGGAAACCGGAGCUAAUACCGGAUAAUAUAUUGAACCGCAUGGUUCAAUAGUGAAAGCCGGUUUUGCUGUCACUUAUAGAUGGAUCCGCGCCGCAUUAGCUAGUUGGUAAGGUAACGGCUUACCAAGGCAACGAUGCGUAGCCGACCUGAGAGGGUGAUCGGCCACACUGGAACUGAGACACGGUCCAGACUCCUACGGGAGGCAGCAGUGGGGAAUCUUGCACAAUGGGCGAAAGCCUGACGGAGCAACGCCGCGUGAGUGAUGAAGGUCUUCGGAUCGUAAAACUCUGUUAGUAGGGAAGAACAAAUGUGUAAGUAACUAUGCACGUCUUGACGGUACCAAAACAGAAAGCAACGGCUAACUACGUG
Molecule: ribosomal RNA, 497 nt
Filed under: uncultured bacterium
Lineage: Bacteria
Description: partial 16S ribosomal RNA
Rfam family: Bacterial small subunit ribosomal RNA
Source: RNAcentral